ACAGCAGUAGCCGCGGUAAUACCGAGGGUGCGAGCGUUAAUCGGAUUUACUGGGCGUAAAGCGUGCGUAGGCGGCUUCUUAAGUCGGAUGUGAAAUCCCUGAGCUUAACUUAGGAAUUGCAUUCGAUACUGGGAAGCUAGAGUAUGGGAGAGGAUGGUAGAAUUCCAGGUGUAGCGGUGAAAUGCGUAGAGAUCUGGAGGAAUACCGAUGGCGAAGGCAGCCAUCUGGCCUAAUACUGACGCUGAGGUACGAAAGCAUGGGGAGCAAACAGGAUUAGAUACCCGCGUAGUCCCUGUCUCUUAUAC
This 305-nucleotide ribosomal RNA is filed under the name uncultured bacterium. RNAcentral describes it as "partial 16S ribosomal RNA". It matches the Rfam family "Bacterial small subunit ribosomal RNA", at positions 508 to 807 of the family's 1533-position model. The record is from RNAcentral.